CGACUGUACAGGGGCUACUCCUGCAUCAUCCAACCCCUCCGAACCCCUACACCAUGGCUGUGGCUGCGCGACACACGGUAAGGGAAGCCUGCUCUAUACCUCUCCCCAUGAGCCCCUGCCCUCACAGCCUGAGCCAAACCUACUUUACUUCUCAUGGUCUGCUCCUAGGACUUGGAGGUGACAGUGUGUAAGGGGUAGAUGAGCUAGUCAGGAUCCAGUGUGCUUGGACUUCCUUUACAGUCUUUGGCUUCUUAACAGGCAGAUACCACAGUAACCUACACCACAGCCUUUGACCCCGACAGCACUGGGCAGCAGGUGUGGCAGGACCUACUUCAAGAUGGACAGCUGGACUCCCCUGCUGGUGACGGGGGGCUUGACUGGGAGGGGUUGGGAAGAAAGGCUCUGUCCUGUCUUAGGACCAGGGUGGAAGACCUGAAAA
This 439-nucleotide long non-coding RNA is filed under the name Rattus norvegicus (Norway rat). Its description in RNAcentral is "long non-coding RNA NONRATT023197". The record is from RNAcentral. Lineage: Eukaryota; Metazoa; Chordata; Mammalia; Rodentia; Muridae.